This 382-nucleotide ribosomal RNA is filed under the name uncultured bacterium. RNAcentral's name for it is "bacterial SSU rRNA". It matches the Rfam family "Bacterial small subunit ribosomal RNA", at positions 29 to 402 of the family's 1533-position model. The record is from RNAcentral.
AACGAACGCUGGCGGCGCGCCUAAUACAUGCAAGUCGAGCGAGAAGACGUAGCAAUACGUUUGUAAAGCGGCGAACGGGUGAGGAAUACAUGGGUAACCUACCCUCGAGUGGGGAAUAACUAGCCGAAAGGUUAGCUAAUACCGCGUACGCUCCUCGGACUUCGGUUCAGGAGGAAAGCGAUACCGUGGGUAUCGCGCUCUUGGAUGGGCUCCAUGUCCUAUCAGCUUGUUGGUGAGGUAACGGCUCACCAAGGCUUCGACGGUAGCUGGUCUGAGAGGACGAUCAGCCACACUGGCACUGCGACACGGGCCAGACUCCUACGGGAGGCAGCAGUAAGGAAUAUUGCGCAAUGGGCGAAAGCCUGACGCAGCGACGCCGCGU